This is a long non-coding RNA of Panthera uncia (snow leopard), 153 nucleotides long. RefSeq lists it as uncharacterized. The record is from RefSeq and is a predicted model, not a curated record. The transcript has 2 exons. NCBI's taxonomy places the organism in Eukaryota, Metazoa, Chordata, Mammalia, Carnivora, Felidae.
AUGCAGGAGGUAACCUCCUUGCCUAGGACACGUAAAUGGAAAUCUCUCCAUAUGCUUUGCAAUUAUCACAUAAGCAGUGAAGAGGUUCAAUAAAGCUGAGAGAAAAACAGGAGGCAGUACCGCCAAAUCAACAGAAGAGCUUACAAACUCAGG